AAUGAACGCUGGCGGUAUGCCUAAUACAUGCAAGUCGAGCGAACACACGAGGAGCUUGCUCCUCUGACGUUAGCGGCGGACGGGCGAGUAACACGUGGAUAACCUUCCACUAAUACUGGGAUAACUUCGGGAAACAGGUGAUAAUACUAGAUAACAUGAUCAACGGCUUGAUUCAACAGUGCUAGACAGUCUUCCCGUCUCUUUUAGCUGGAUCCGCGCCGCAUUAGCUAGUUGGUAAGGUAACGGCUUACCAAGGCAACGAUGCGUAGCCGACCUGAGAGGGUGAUCAGCCACACUGGAACUGAGACACGGUCCAGACUCCUACGGGAGGCAGCAGUGGGGAAUAUUCCACAAUGGGCGAAAGCCUGACGGAGCAACGCCGCGUGAGUGAAGAAGGUCUUCGGAUCGUAAAACUCUGUUAUUAGGGAAGAACAAAUGUGUAUGAAACUAUGGACGUCUUGACGGUACCUAAACAGAAAGCCACGGCUAACUUCGUG
RNAcentral lists this ribosomal RNA (497 nucleotides) under uncultured bacterium. Its description in RNAcentral is "partial 16S ribosomal RNA". It matches the Rfam family "Bacterial small subunit ribosomal RNA", at positions 29 to 507 of the family's 1533-position model. The record is from RNAcentral.